This 492-nucleotide ribosomal RNA is filed under the name uncultured bacterium. Its description in RNAcentral is "partial 16S ribosomal RNA". It matches the Rfam family "Bacterial small subunit ribosomal RNA", at positions 29 to 507 of the family's 1533-position model. The record is from RNAcentral.
AGUGAACGCUGGCGGUAGGCCUAACACAUGCAAGUCGAACGGCAGCACAGUAAGAGCUUGCUCUUACGGGUGGCGAGUGGCGGACGGGUGAGGAAUACAUCGGAAUCUACUUUUUCGUGGGGGAUAACGUAGGGAAACUUACGCUAAUACCGCAUACGACCUACGGGUGAAGGCAGGGGAUCUUCGGACCUUGCGCGAUUGAAUGAGCCGAUGUCGGAUUAGCUAGUUGGCGGGGUAAAGGCCCACCAAGGCGACGAUCCGUAGCUGGUCUGAGAGGAUGAUCAGCCACACUGGAACUGAGACACGGUCCAGACUCCUACGGGAGGCAGCAGUGGGGAAUAUUGGACAAUGGGCGCAAGCCUGAUCCAGCCAUACCGCGUGGGUGAAGAAGGCUUUCGGGUUGUAAAGCCCUUUUGUUGGGAAAGAAAAGCAGCAGGUUAAUACCCCGCCGUUCUGACGGUACCCAAAGAAUAAGCACCGGCUAACUUCGUG